Molecule: ribosomal RNA, 957 nt
Filed under: Acrida cinerea
Lineage: Eukaryota; Metazoa; Arthropoda; Insecta; Orthoptera; Acrididae
Description: SSU rRNA
Rfam family: Eukaryotic small subunit ribosomal RNA
Source: RNAcentral
UCUCAGUACAAGCCGCAUUAAGGUGAAACCGCGAAUGGCUCAUUAAAUCAGUUAUGGUUCCUUAGAUCGUACCCACGUUACUUGGAUAACUGUGGUAAUUCUAGAGCUAAUACAUGCAAACAGAGUCCCGACCAGAGAUGGAAGGGACGCUUUUAUUAGAUCAAAACCAAUCGGUCGGCUCGUCCGGUCCGUUUGCCUUGGUGACUCUGAAUAACUUUGGGCUGAUCGCACGGUCUCCGUACCGGCGACGCAUCUUUCAAAUGUCUGCCUUAUCAACUGUCGAUGGUAGGUUCUGCGCCUACCAUGGUUGUAACGGGUAACGGGGAAUCAGGGUUCGAUUCCGGAGAGGGAGCCUGAGAAACGGCUACCACAUCCAAGGAAGGCAGCAGGCGCGCAAAUUACCCACUCCCGGCACGGGGAGGUAGUGACGAAAAAUAACGAUACGGGACUCAUCCGAGGCCCCGUAAUCGGAAUGAGUACACUUUAAAUCCUUUAACGAGUAUCUAUUGGAGGGCAAGUCUGGUGCCAGCAGCCGCGGUAAUUCCAGCUCCAAUAGCGUAUAUUAAAGUUGUUGCGGUUAAAAAGCUCGUAGUUGGAUUUGUGUCCCACGCUGUUGGUUCACCGCCCGUCGGUGUUUAACUGGCAUGUAUCGUGGGACGUCCUGCCGGUGGGGCGAGCCGAAGGCGCGCGGAGCGCCCCCGUGUGUCUCCGUGCGUCCCGAGGCGGACCCCGUUGAAAUCCUACCGCGGUGCUCUUUACCGAGUGUCGAGGUGGGCCGGCACGUUUACUUUGAACAAAUUAGAGUGCUUAAAGCAGGCAAGCCCGCCUGAAUACUGUGUGCAUGGAAUAAUGGAAUAGGACCUCGGUUCUAUUUUGUUGGUUUUCGGAACCCGAGGUAAUGAUUAAUAGGGACAGGCGGGGGCAUUCGUAUUGCGACGUUAGAGGUGAAAUUCUUGG